RNAcentral lists this long non-coding RNA (253 nucleotides) under Olea europaea (common olive). RNAcentral describes it as "long non-coding RNA (OEUR_LNC008008)". The record is from RNAcentral. Lineage: Eukaryota; Viridiplantae; Streptophyta; Magnoliopsida; Lamiales; Oleaceae.
GUCAUCACAAACAAAUCUACAAACACUGCAGACUAGGACCUGUUCUUUUUGUAAGCUCAGACACAUCACUUCUUAGUACUUCAACAACCAUAGUGCAACUUUCUUCAUAUUCGUGAACUCUUAUUAUUCUCGUCAAACUUAAACCUAAACUCAAAUAAAAUAACAAGGGUUUGGGUAAUUUUCUUCCCUUUCAUCGAAGUAAAUGAACUCAAGAUGAAAAAUAUGGGUUUGAUCCAGAUUUUCUCCCAUUUAG